AGUAAGAAAAGGCAAACUUAGUGAAAAUUAAGGACGCAAAGCUAUCGGUCUAAGGGCCCAUACUCGUAUAUUGAGCCUAUGAUUGCGGUGCUGCCAAC
RNAcentral lists this non-coding RNA (98 nucleotides) under Pseudoalteromonas denitrificans DSM 6059. RNAcentral's name for it is "c-di-GMP-I riboswitch aptamer". It matches the Rfam family "c-di-GMP-I riboswitch aptamer". Rfam says of the family: GEMM was predicted in a large-scale screen for bacterial structured RNA regulatory elements. Genes associated with GEMM are involved in a diverse array of functions, including chemotaxis regulation, signal transduction, secretion and chitin. The record is from Rfam by way of RNAcentral. Lineage: Bacteria; Pseudomonadati; Pseudomonadota; Gammaproteobacteria; Alteromonadales; Pseudoalteromonadaceae.